UGAAGUCACACUUUUAACCCACUUCUAACCAAACUCUCUCACUCAUUGGUUCAGCUCCUUCGUAUCAAUCUGCAGCAGAAACAAACCUCGCGACAAAUCAGACACAUAUCGCGUCAAUCUGCAGAAACAAAGCUUCUUCUUCGAUUCUUAGAGUCUUAGACCGAUAUCAGGUGGUGGUCGACGGCGAUGACCCAGUGGUGUUCGACGGAGACGGCCCAGUGGUGACCCAGGUGGUGGUUCGAUGGCGACGACCCAAUGGUGAACCCAGGUGGUGGUGCGCCGACAAAAAGUGGAUGGGGGUUUGAUCUCUAAGUUUGGGGUUAUAGGGUUUCUCUUGUAAUCCAAAGUUGUACCCUUCUAAUUGCAAGGGUUCUGAAAUUUAUAAAAGUUCUAACGAUUGAAUAAAAAUUGCACAAUUUGUGCAUAUCAGUUCUUGGAU
Molecule: long non-coding RNA, 439 nt
Organism: Tripterygium wilfordii
Lineage: Eukaryota; Viridiplantae; Streptophyta; Magnoliopsida; Celastrales; Celastraceae
Exons: 2
Source: RefSeq, a predicted model, not a curated record